This 441-nucleotide ribosomal RNA is filed under the name uncultured bacterium. RNAcentral describes it as "partial 16S ribosomal RNA". It matches the Rfam family "Bacterial small subunit ribosomal RNA", at positions 338 to 795 of the family's 1533-position model. The record is from RNAcentral.
CCUACGGGAGGCAGCAGUAGGGAAUAUUGCUCAAUGGGGGAAACCCUGAAGCAGCAACGCCGCGUGGAGGAUGAAGGUUUUCGGAUUGUAAACUCCUUUUGUUAGAGAAGAUAAUGACGGUAUCUAACGAAUAAGCACCGGCUAACUCCGUGCCAGCAGCCGCGGUAAUACGGGGGAUGCAAGCGUUAUCCGGAUUUAUUGGGUUUAAAGGGUGCGUAGGCUGUGAGGUAAGUCAGCGGUGAAAUGCCCCCGCUCAACGGGGUGAAGUGCCAUUGAUACUGCCUUGCUGGAAUGCGGAUGCCGUGGGAGGAAUGUGUGGUGUAGCGGUGAAAUGCAUAGAUAUCACACAGAACACCGAUUGCGAAGGCAUCUCACGAAUCCGCGAUUGACGCUGAUGCACGAAAGCGUGGGUAUCAAACAGGAUUAGAUACCCGAGUAGUC